UGGCUGUCUGCAUCCAUACCAGGUUUGUCA
RNAcentral lists this non-coding RNA (30 nucleotides) under Mus musculus (house mouse). The record is from RNAcentral. Lineage: Eukaryota; Metazoa; Chordata; Mammalia; Rodentia; Muridae.